This 273-nucleotide long non-coding RNA is filed under the name Pandoravirus quercus. Its description in RNAcentral is "hypothetical ncRNA". The record is from RNAcentral.
CCACGGUCGACGGAGUGCCGUGCGAUGCCAUCGGCGACGGCCGCGGCGACGUCGCGGGCAUUCGCACGUGCGACCACAGCCGUCAGUGGUACUGGCGGGACGAGGCCGUCGGGGUGACGGACGUCGUCAAGAACCUGCUCGAUGCCAUCACACGAUGCGCCGAGUACGCGCACGAUACCAUCAGGGCGCCGUUGGCGAGCAAACCUGACACUGAGAUUAUGGAGUUCAGCGUCCGUUGCACCCGCCAGGCGGCGGCCGGAGGCGACGACGUCA